This is a non-coding RNA of Oncorhynchus mykiss (rainbow trout), 6392 nucleotides long. NCBI's taxonomy places the organism in Eukaryota, Metazoa, Chordata, Actinopteri, Salmoniformes, Salmonidae. The record is from RefSeq and is a predicted model, not a curated record.
CAACAUUAACAAUGUCUGUACUGUAUUUCUGAGCAAUUUGAUGUUAUUUGAAUGGACAAAAAAUGUGAUUUUCCUUUAAAAAAACAUUUCAAAGUGACCCCAAACUUUUGAACGGUAGUGUACAUUGACUUCCCCAGAAUCGUCCUUGACAAACACCUGUAUAUGUGCUUGUUUCCAGUAUUCUAAGAAAAGACCACUCUGAAGAAUUGAGAUUCAAUCUCUGGAUGCAAGUCUAGUUGAGUUGUAUACAAAUGCGACUCAAUUCAGUAAAAAUGGACUUUCUUUCAUUAUCGUAACGAUCACGUUAUGUUCCUGUGCAGAGAUUUCACCAGAUAAUACUGCAGGGCUUUGACAUAAAAAAAAAAAUUGCCACUUGUCCUUCAGACAAGUAGGACAGAUUUGUUUUUUUUUUUGGUCAGAAAGCUCAAGUCACCAAAGAGUGAUACUUAAAAUUGUCGUAUGAUUCAAGGAACCACUUUACAAUAUAAAAAUGACCAUUGUUGCUACCGUAUAGAGAAUCAGACAAAUGUAGGCUACCCUCUGCAUUAUGGGCUUCUUUGCAUAUUCAAGCCUGUCUCAAAAUAGAACACUGCCCCUUUUAGAUGCACCUGGAGGAUGAUUGGCAACCCUUAAAUAGCCCCCCAAAAUAUUGCACAGUUACAAUUCCAACCGAAUACUUUUUGUCUUUAAUAAAUAAUUGACUAAUUUAAUGAAUCGGGAAUCAAAUGGCUACAGUAGGUUUCUUAAAAGAACGGUAACUAACGAAGACAUGUUUAUAACAUUGUAAGGCUGAAAUAUUCAGGUUUCAGUGGAGGUUUAUUGACCGCACUGUUCAACCAAUCCAAUAAAUGUGGAGGAAGAGGUGGUGUUCCAAUGGUGUUAGAUUUAUUCCUCAACUUCCAAUAAUAAAUACAUUUCAGAUAUGCUAUCCCCAAAAUAAUCAUUUGGUUGUGUUUAUGAAGGUCUUUGCUAACAUUAGACUGAGUUUUUUAUUUUAUUUUUUAAGAACACUGUAGCAUUUUCAUUCAUUUAUUUUACUGUAGGCUAUCUGUAAAAAUGAGGGGGAAAAAACCACAAAGCACCACAAUUGAAGUGUUGUCAUCACACAGAAAUCCAUUAUAAGUACGUUUUGGAAGGUCUUAUACAGCGCGGUGCAGUCCAAAUUGUGUUUUUCCUGUGUUUUGUAUCAUUGUACAACAGUUGAUGAAACAAACACUGUAAAAGUGUGAACAAAAUUGAUAAGUUUUAUUUUCUGAUAGUUCCUGCUUGAAAAUACAAUAUACACAGGACCUUCAAAUCAGUCUGUUUGCAAGAGUGGGAGUUUCUGCUUGCCUGGUGACAUCACCAGGUGGGAAAUUGGUUAAUAAAUCAAUAACAAAGAGUUCCAAACCUCUGCUAAUAAUAGCAGUUCCUGCCCCACUUAGACCACUCCCACAUUGUUCCCUCCCCACUUAGACCACUCCCAUGUUGUUCCCUCCCCACUACUUAGACCACUCCCACAUUGUUCCCUCCCCACUUAGACCACUCCCAGACAGUCUUAAUUAACAAAAAAUCUUGCUUGAGAAAGUUUUUUGCGAAAAAAUAUUGUUGUUCAUUUUAAUGGAAAACUGUUACAGUAAGGUACUUGUUAUCCAGAAAUGAUUUGAUGUUGAUAUAAACAUGGCUGAAUUGGAACUUUUUAAGAAAAAAAAGUGACAAAGAAAAUGUAUUUCAAAAGAACAGAGUAAAAUAUUUUCAGUUUUAUUUUAUUACUUAGAAGUUGUUGCUUAGUAGCCUCGGCUAUGCUACCUCCAGUACUCUGUGUGGAGUGCAUGGAACAGCGUUUUUGGUUGGGAAAAGUUAUAUUUUGAAAUAGAGCUCAUCUCGGUUAUUUGGCAAAUAAAGGUCUUUCUGAUAGAUAAAAAUGACCUGCAAGAACCUGUAGGAUGAUUAGAAAAUGCUGCUUUUUUGGUUAAGCUUAGUUAAUUACAAACGCUUCAAUGUUUCUCUGUCUCUCCUCGGGCCCAAGCACAUUGGCACACAUGCAGGUGAUUGAUGUGCACAACAUUACAUUUCCAGGAUUAUCAUGACCGUACCUGUGUGCUGACCAACAAUUAUAUAACUGGGCAAAUAACUCCCUAACCAGCAAGGAAUAUCAACACAUUUGCACAUGUGGCACAGAUAGAUCUGCUCAAAAGCACAUUCUUAUUCAAAUGAUUUUUGUUGAUCUUGUGAUUAUUAUUUUUACAUGUCUUUUUUUAACACAACAUCUUCUUCUUGUCUGACACAUUUAUUUACUUGCCCCGGACAAUCUGAAAGUCAAGCCUCACUAUUGUCAAUAGGAAUCAUUCGACACAAAGUAGGCCGUUUUUAGUUUGUCUCAGAAUCAGCACAGAAAGGAGUGUUAAGGAUCACCUUGGGCUAGAUCUUCGUGUGUUAAGCCAGUUAUGACCAAUCCUGUUGCUACCACCUAGUGACUCAGUCACACACAACAUCUGCAGGUUUUAGUGCCUCAUUCCUGAUGACAUCAUUUCAGUGGAAUAGUCAGCUCAUGAGUGUCAUACUAAGUGGGCUGUCCCAUCCAAGUCCUCCAAGACUACUUUGUUAAAGUUUACUUGUACAUUAGUCACAAAACAUCUGUUACAACCAUAUAAUAAGCCUUUAAUGGAACCUCUGAACACCAUUUCCUCUGUUCUGAUGAUGUUAACAGUAUAAUGAGAGCUUGGUAAUGCGUUUGAAGUUCGCUCCUGUGAGAACUAAAAUCAUAACUGGCCUCAAAAAACCACAGUGAGACUCUGGUGAUCUAAAGUCAAUGGCAAAAAACAUGUUAUGUAUUGGUUCAAAAUAAGACCUCUAUAAUAUUUUGAUGUAAUGUUGUGUCUGGGUAUUGGGAUUGGUAUAAAUGAGUAGAGUGUGUGGGCUCUGAUUGUGUGAUAUGAACAUACAUGUCAUUCGGAACAUACUAGUGAUCAUUUUGUAUUUCACAGUGUAGAAGUUGUUUUCCUAGUAAAAACUUGAACUUGUGCAUCAUGAGUUGAAUGUUGAAUACAUUUCCUCAUCUUAGGGUUUUCUGACCUCUUCUCAACAUUUUGGGGAGGUCAAUAAUGGGAAAGCAUUUGAUCUUGCUAAAAAAAGCAGAAGUAUCAAAUGUACACGAGUCUGUGAGUGUUGCAGUUCCCACUUGUGCGCCUAACAUUUGGUUGCCCAAUACUGUAUAUAGGAGGAGGGGUUUUGCGUUGUGUUUUUACAGAUGUUGCUCCUUUCUGAGGAUGAUAAAAAAAAAAAAGCUCCUUUGACAGUCAAGUGUUACAUUUGCAUACAACCACACAAAAUAAUAUAUACCAUACAUGUAUACAACAAAUAUGAGAUGGUGAGAUAAAAAAUAAAAAUAAAUUAAGUAAAAAAGAAAAAAACACAAACAGUUCCAGAACCUACUAAUGUGAACCAAGAUGAGAAUCCCCCUAUGUAAUUGUAUUAAUGUCCCUGUAGUGUUUCUCAGAAAAAUACCACUUUGCAUCACAAAAGUUCCUCUUCUGUGAAGUUUUAAACAACCCUGAACGUAUUCAACCCCAGUGUAAAGUGCUUUUCUUCACUGCUUAUGGGAUCCAUAUGCAACUGCCGGAUACUUGUAUUUUUUGGCAGUGCUCAGUGAAUGACGUGACAGGCGUGGUAAUAACAAUGAGAACACAAUUAAUUCCAGAUCUUUACAGACUUUGCACUCCGAAGUUGGCUAAGGGAAAAUCAAAAAGGGUGCGGUCAUGGUAUUUUAGUUCUGCUGGUUCAAAUAUACAUAUUGUGAAUGAUCAUUGACAUUUUUCGCUUUACUACAAUAAACGAAAGUAAAAUGUUUUAUCAUUCUAAAGUUUCCUGCCUGUCCGGACGGCAGUACUCAGAAUGUGAGUACAGUACAUAGGAAAUGACUCAUAGGAGUUGAACUGUUAGCGUGGGUGUGUACUCUAUUAAAACAAGGCUCAGACUACUCCGGGUGACUCAUUGUGAGGCUAGCUUUUCCAUGGUGAAAAACAAAACGGGCUUUUCAUCAGAUGAACUUUCGGGAAUUUCGUUUAUACAAGAAACAUGGCUUCAAACAUUAUCUGUGCGCUUUGUGGACUUGUCAUUGCGACUGUAGCGAACCUAAACGGCGCGAACGGGCAACAAAACCUAUGCAGUAGUUCAGAGUUCUGGAGUUCGGACAUAGACCAAUGCGUAUCCUGCUCAUCGUGCAAGCAGUAUCCAAAGACCCCUUCGUGUAACACUUGCACAUUUACCAAGGAAAGAUCUGAUGUCUGGAGACUGGCAGCCAUUUCCAGCUUCUCUGUGCUGGCAGUUAUUCUGGUCGCUGCAGUAUUGAUCAUUGGAGUCAUGGUGCAUCGACGCAAGGCACAGAAGAGGCCCCUCCGUGAACCCAUUGAAGAGACAACGGGACCUCUUUACCAAGCGUAAACAUUUCACCUCAUCUUCCUUCUGACAUUGAUGUGACAGAACCAAGGGAACAUCUUUGGAUGACCAACCGAAACAGAAUCAUUUUUUGUACUAUGGAUAAUACUCUGACCACAGGGUAUUAUUUGAGUGGAGUUUGACCAUUUAAUUUAUUAUACUGUUAGUAAAGAUGUGUUCACAUACACUCAGUGUGUUACGGAACGGAGCUCUCACAAAGAACUGUGUUAACAAGCGCUGUCAAUCCCCUACCUUGUCUGCAGUCAGACUGUACUCUGAGUAAGACAAUGUAGUUAGUAAAGAGUAUCUCUCACAGCUCUUUUUGAAAUGAAAUGAUGGCCUUUGAGUAGUGAUGCUAGGUUGAGCUUGUCUAGAUAUUCCAAUAAUCUAUCUAUCGAUAAGUAAGUUGUUCAAUCCAUAAGUAGUUUAAAAAACAGUAGUGAACAUGAGACACAUCUUGAAUGAUGUGGAUUUCCAACCGUUUCUGUCAAUGCUUGAACACCUGUUGUUUUAUUGUAGCUUAUUAGGACGAAUACCAACUACCGAACUGCCUCGACUUGCCAUCAGCAGGACAAAAGUGAAUACAGCACAAUCGUGCUUCCUGGGCCAGGUUUCACAUACUCUACUUCUAUAAGAGUAACGUUUCCAUUUAACAUCCUCGUGAUAAUGAAAAGUAAAAGGGAAAUGUUAGAUUAUAAAUUCAUGUUGGGCACAUUUUGGCAAUUUGAAUGUACUUUUAGGGCAAUUUAUCCAGUCUGUGUUUCCAUGUAGGAACUAUAUGCACUUAGAGCUAGUUGUUUUUUAACUCAUCAUUUUUAAAGGAGUAGAAUUAUUUUAACAGUAUCGUGCACUGUACUCUCUAGGAUCUUCCAAUCAAAAGAGGCAAAGGGGAAAAUAAGUGAACUGAUUAUGAAACUGCGUAUUGGACAUUCUUACAUAGGUCAUUUAACCAUUAUACUGUAGUAUGUGUGUAUGCAGGAUAAGUAGUAUAACACAGGGGCUUGCAAACUGUCGUGAUGGAAAAGUUCAAGGUGGUCCAGAAUCCUGUGGGAAUGUGUUUGUAUAGUUCAGGGAUGGGCAACUUUGAUGGGGGUGGGGGCCACAAAAAAAAUCUGAACACAUCAUGAGGGGCCACUGUUGUGCCGCCACCCAAUUCUACACAUCUCGCAAUAUGGUGGAGAGAAAUGUUUGCAGUUUUAAUUAUAUCUAACUGAGACUGACUAACAAAAUCAAUGCCCCCCCCCCCCCCCUGGGUGGUAAUUUGACCACGAUUACUACAAGUUUAGAUGGCUGAGCACUAGACUAAUUUACCAAUCUAAAAAAUGUUAGCUGACAUGGACUAAUUGAGGAACAAGAAAAACUGCUGAUGCACAACCAAAUUUCUAAAUGGCACCUUGUGUAUUCUCCUAUUCUAACUCUCAACAGUAAGUUGAGACCCUGACUAAGCCCUUCCACCUGUUGCCAAUCCCUGGUAUAGUUUAUACUGUUUUUUUCUUAUUUUUACAAUUAAAUCCAUUCCCGAUGGACAAAUAGGGAAGCCUUAGCGUUGUGCUCUCCACAGUUGAAACAAUGGAGAUGAGUCAAUGCUUGUGUGACAUUUUUUUUUUAACACUAUUAGACACUGACUGCCAACCCAGGAAGGAACAUUGCAAUUUAGGGAAAAACAAACUGAACCCUAUUGAAAUGUAUAACCAUGGUAUAACUGUGUACUCAUCUUCAAACUAACUCAGAGCACAAUUUUAGGGCUUGUGUGUCAGGAUAAUGUGGGUGGCUGAAUAUGACUUAAUUCAUAUUACUGACAAUAUUACUUUCUUAUCAAUAUUAAGUGGAUAUGUAUACCAGCAGCAAGAAAAGGGUCAUUGGACAAUUUUUAUACAGAUAUUGUUUUCAUAUAUAUUUAUUUAGAAUUAUAUAUUUUCUAAUGUUUAUGUGGUAACAGCUAAAUGUAUGAAUAAAUACUGACGAAGGGACACCUG